RNAcentral lists this ribosomal RNA (267 nucleotides) under uncultured bacterium. Its description in RNAcentral is "partial 16S ribosomal RNA". It matches the Rfam family "Bacterial small subunit ribosomal RNA", at positions 91 to 354 of the family's 1533-position model. The record is from RNAcentral.
CGGACCGGCGCGACGGGUGCGUAACGCGUAUGCAACCUACCUAUCAGGAGGGGGACUAACCCGGCGAAAGUCGGACUAAUACCGCAUGAAGCAGGGGCCCCGCAUGGGGAUAUUUGCUAAAGAUUCAUCGCUGAUAGAUAGGCAUGCGUUCCAUUAGGCAGUUGGCGGGGUAACGGCCCACCAAACCGACGAUGGAUAGGGGUUCUGAGAGGAAGGUCCCCCACAUUGGUACUGAGACACGGACCAAACUCCUACGGGAGGCAGCAG